Molecule: long non-coding RNA, 373 nt
Filed under: Astyanax mexicanus (Mexican tetra)
Lineage: Eukaryota; Metazoa; Chordata; Actinopteri; Characiformes; Acestrorhamphidae
Description: lncRNA (ENSAMXG00005008128.1)
Source: RNAcentral
GGUGUUGGUGAUCAGUUACUCACUGAGGAGAAGCUAUGAAGCUAUGAAGCGGCUUAAAAGAAAGAUGAAAUAUGGAGCUCGCAGAGGAACUAAACAAACAGUGCCGAAGUCUGCCGUGAUAAAUGAGGGGUAUGGAGCAAGGGGCCAGACCUCUUCAGUAAUAACUCCCAGAGGAAUCUAAGUGACGGAACAAAGCAGGGCCUUGAUGGCUAGGGCAGAAAGGGCUGUAAAUCAGCCUGCGAUGCUUUCCACGGCAGGCUGAGAGAUGACUGCACAUUCAUAGGCCAUUCUUUAAUAUCGUCAAGGUUUCUAUUUUAUUUCCUUCUCUUCUACAGCGUCGAUUCCCCGAGGAGAAAGAGGCUCUCAAGACCUU